This 253-nucleotide ribosomal RNA is filed under the name uncultured bacterium. RNAcentral's name for it is "partial 16S ribosomal RNA". It matches the Rfam family "Bacterial small subunit ribosomal RNA", at positions 524 to 776 of the family's 1533-position model. The record is from RNAcentral.
UACGGAGGGGGCUAGCGUUGUUCGGAAUUACUGGGCGUAAAGCGCGCGUAGGCGGACCUGCAAGUCGGGGGUGAAAGCCCGGGGCUCAACCCCGGAACUGCCUUUAAGACUGCAUCGCUUGAAUCCGGGAGAGGUGAGUGGAAUUCCGAGUGUAGAGGUGAAAUUCGUAGAUAUUCGGAAGAACACCAGUGGCGAAGGCGGCUCACUGGACCGGUAUUGACGCUGAUGUGCGAAAGCGUGGGGAGCAAACAGG